Trichosurus vulpecula (common brushtail) is the source of this 268-nucleotide long non-coding RNA. RefSeq lists it as uncharacterized. The record is from RefSeq and is a predicted model, not a curated record. Lineage: Eukaryota; Metazoa; Chordata; Mammalia; Diprotodontia; Phalangeridae. The transcript is spliced from 3 exons.
UAAGAAUGAUAAAACAGAAAAUCAUGAGAUUCAGAGGAAGAGUGUGGAAGGGAAGAAGAGGAAAUAAAGGAAGAGAAGGUUAUAUUCCACUUCUUCUGCUGUCUGGGAUGCUAAAAAAGGAAGACAGAUCCAGCCAGAAAAGCCAAAUUUCCAUAAGGAUGAUACAUCUCUGACAGAUGUCCCUGAUUUCCUGAAAGAUAGCUUUUUGAUUGGAGUUUUAUAAUAAUCUAAGUGGGAAACCCAGAUGGGGAACCUGAGGCAGAGAAAA